GACGAACGCUGGCGGCGUGCUUAACACAUGCAAGUCGAGCGGUAAGGCCCUUUCGGGGUACACGAGCGGCGAACGGGUGAGUAACACGUGGGUGACCUGCCUUUAGCUCUGGGAUAAGCCUGGGAAACUGGGUCUAAUACCGGAUAUGACCCUAUGGCGCAUGUUGUGGGGUGGAAAGCCUUGUGCGGCUAGGGAUGGGCCCGCGGCCUAUCAGCUUGUUGGUGGGGUGAUGGCCUACCAAGGCGACGACGGGUAGCCGGCCGUGAGAGGGCGACCGGCCACACUGGGACUGAGACACGGCCCAGACUCCUACGGGAGGCAGCAGUGGGGAAUCUUGCGCAAUGGGCGAAAGCCUGACGCAGCGACGCCGCGUGAGGGAUGACGGCC
RNAcentral lists this ribosomal RNA (387 nucleotides) under uncultured bacterium. RNAcentral's name for it is "bacterial SSU rRNA". It matches the Rfam family "Bacterial small subunit ribosomal RNA", at positions 28 to 416 of the family's 1533-position model. The record is from RNAcentral.